GAGUUUGAUCCUGGCUCAGAUUGAACGCUGGCGGUAGGCUUAACACAUGCAAGUCGUGCGAGAAAGUAUCUUCGGAUAUGAGUAGAGCGGCGGACGGGUGAGUAACGCGUAGGAAUCUACCUAGUAGAAGGGGAUAGCCCGGGGAAACCCGGAUUAAUACCGUAUACCUCCUUCGGGAGAAAGAAGGCCUCUCUUUGAAGCUUUCGCUAUUAGAUGAGCCUGCGUAAGAUUAGCUUGUUGGUGAGGUAAAGGCUCACCAAGGCGACGAUCUUUAGCUGGUCUGAGAGGACGAUCAGCCACAUUGGGACUGAGACACGGCCCAGACUCCUACGGGAGGCAGCAGUGGGGAAUAUUGGACAAUGGGCGCAAGCCUGAUCCAGCCAUACCGCGUGUGUGAAGAAGGCCUUCGGGUUGUAAAGCACUUUAAGCAGGGAGAAAAAGUUAUAAGUUAAUACCUUAUAACCGUGAUGUUACCUGCAGAAUAAGCACCGG
RNAcentral lists this ribosomal RNA (492 nucleotides) under uncultured bacterium. Its description in RNAcentral is "bacterial SSU rRNA". It matches the Rfam family "Bacterial small subunit ribosomal RNA", at positions 9 to 496 of the family's 1533-position model. The record is from RNAcentral.